Molecule: ribosomal RNA, 2901 nt
Filed under: Escherichia coli DEC7C
Lineage: Bacteria; Pseudomonadati; Pseudomonadota; Gammaproteobacteria; Enterobacterales; Enterobacteriaceae
Description: bacterial LSU rRNA
Rfam family: Bacterial large subunit ribosomal RNA
Source: RNAcentral
UUAAGCGACUAAGCGUACACGGUGGAUGCCCUGGCAGUCAGAGGCGAUGAAGGACGUGCUAAUCUGCGAUAAGCGUCGGUAAGGUGAUAUGAACCGUUAUAACCGGCGAUUUCCGAAUGGGGAAACCCAGUGUGUUUCGACACACUAUCAUUAACUGAAUCCAUAGGUUAAUGAGGCGAACCGGGGGAACUGAAACAUCUAAGUACCCCGAGGAAAAGAAAUCAACCGAGAUUCCCCCAGUAGCGGCGAGCGAACGGGGAGGAGCCCAGAGCCUGAAUCAGUGUGUGUGUUAGUGGAAGCGUCUGGAAAGGCGCGCGAUACAGGGUGACAGCCCCGUACACAAAAAUGCACAUGCUGUGAGCUCGAUGAGUAGGGCGGGACACGUGGUAUCCUGUCUGAAUAUGGGGGGACCAUCCUCCAAGGCUAAAUACUCCUGACUGACCGAUAGUGAACCAGUACCGUGAGGGAAAGGCGAAAAGAACCCCGGCGAGGGGAGUGAAAAAGAACCUGAAACCGUGUACGUACAAGCAGUGGGAGCACGCUUAGGCGUGUGACUGCGUACCUUUUGUAUAAUGGGUCAGCGACUUAUAUUCUGUAGCAAGGUUAACCGAAUAGGGGAGCCGAAGGGAAACCGAGUCUUAACUGGGCGUUAAGUUGCAGGGUAUAGACCCGAAACCCGGUGAUCUAGCCAUGGGCAGGUUGAAGGUUGGGUAACACUAACUGGAGGACCGAACCGACUAAUGUUGAAAAAUUAGCGGAUGACUUGUGGCUGGGGGUGAAAGGCCAAUCAAACCGGGAGAUAGCUGGUUCUCCCCGAAAGCUAUUUAGGUAGCGCCUCGUGAAUUCAUCUCCGGGGGUAGAGCACUGUUUCGGCAAGGGGGUCAUCCCGACUUACCAACCCGAUGCAAACUGCGAAUACCGGAGAAUGUUAUCACGGGAGACACACGGCGGGUGCUAACGUCCGUCGUGAAGAGGGAAACAACCCAGACCGCCAGCUAAGGUCCCAAAGUCAUGGUUAAGUGGGAAACGAUGUGGGAAGGCCCAGACAGCCAGGAUGUUGGCUUAGAAGCAGCCAUCAUUAAAGAAAGCGUAAUAGCUCACUGGUCGAGUCGGCCUGCGCGGAAGAUGUAACGGGGCUAAACCAUGCACCGAAGCUGCGGCAGCGACGCUUAUGCGUUGUUGGGUAGGGGAGCGUUCUGUAAGCCUGUGAAGGUGUGCUGUGAGGCAUGCUGGAGGUAUCAGAAGUGCGAAUGCUGACAUAAGUAACGAUAAAGCGGGUGAAAAGCCCGCUCGCCGGAAGACCAAGGGUUCCUGUCCAACGUUAAUCGGGGCAGGGUGAGUCGACCCCUAAGGCGAGGCCGAAAGGCGUAGUCGAUGGGAAACAGGUUAAUAUUCCUGUACUUGGUGUUACUGCGAAGGGGGGACGGAGAAGGCUAUGUUGGCCGGGCGACGGUUGUCCCGGUUUAAGCGUGUAGGCUGGUUUUCCAGGCAAAUCCGGAAAAUCAAGGCUGAGGCGUGAUGACGAGGCACUACGGUGCUGAAGCAACAAAUGCCCUGCUUCCAGGAAAAGCCUCUAAGCAUCAGGUAACAUCAAAUCGUACCCCAAACCGACACAGGUGGUCAGGUAGAGAAUACCAAGGCGCUUGAGAGAACUCGGGUGAAGGAACUAGGCAAAAUGGUGCCGUAACUUCGGGAGAAGGCACGCUGAUAUGUAGGUGAAGUCCCUCGCGGAUGGAGCUGAAAUCAGUCGAAGAUACCAGCUGGCUGCAACUGUUUAUUAAAAACACAGCACUGUGCAAACACGAAAGUGGACGUAUACGGUGUGACGCCUGCCCGGUGCCGGAAGGUUAAUUGAUGGGGUCAGCGCAAGCGAAGCUCUUGAUCGAAGCCCCGGUAAACGGCGGCCGUAACUAUAACGGUCCUAAGGUAGCGAAAUUCCUUGUCGGGUAAGUUCCGACCUGCACGAAUGGCGUAAUGAUGGCCAGGCUGUCUCCACCCGAGACUCAGUGAAAUUGAACUCGCUGUGAAGAUGCAGUGUACCCGCGGCAAGACGGAAAGACCCCGUGAACCUUUACUAUAGCUUGACACUGAACAUUGAGCCUUGAUGUGUAGGAUAGGUGGGAGGCUUUGAAGUGUGGACGCCAGUCUGCAUGGAGCCGACCUUGAAAUACCACCCUUUAAUGUUUGAUGUUCUAACGUUGACCCGUAAUCCGGGUUGCGGACAGUGUCUGGUGGGUAGUUUGACUGGGGCGGUCUCCUCCUAAAGAGUAACGGAGGAGCACGAAGGUUGGCUAAUCCUGGUCGGACAUCAGGAGGUUAGUGCAAUGGCAUAAGCCAGCUUGACUGCGAGCGUGACGGCGCGAGCAGGUGCGAAAGCAGGUCAUAGUGAUCCGGUGGUUCUGAAUGGAAGGGCCAUCGCUCAACGGAUAAAAGGUACUCCGGGGAUAACAGGCUGAUACCGCCCAAGAGUUCAUAUCGACGGCGGUGUUUGGCACCUCGAUGUCGGCUCAUCACAUCCUGGGGCUGAAGUAGGUCCCAAGGGUAUGGCUGUUCGCCAUUUAAAGUGGUACGCGAGCUGGGUUUAGAACGUCGUGAGACAGUUCGGUCCCUAUCUGCCGUGGGCGCUGGAGAACUGAGGGGGGCUGCUCCUAGUACGAGAGGACCGGAGUGGACGCAUCACUGGUGUUCGGGUUGUCAUGCCAAUGGCACUGCCCGGUAGCUAAAUGCGGAAGAGAUAAGUGCUGAAAGCAUCUAAGCACGAAACUUGCCCCGAGAUGAGUUCUCCCUGACUCCUUGAGAGUCCUGAAGGAACGUUGAAGACGACGACGUUGAUAGGCCGGGUGUGUAAGCGCAGCGAUGCGUUGAGCUAACCGGUACUAAUGAACCGUGAGGCUUAACCUU